CAGUAGCCACGGGAAUACGUAGGUGGCAAGCGUUGUCCGGAAUUAUUGGGCGUAAAGGGCUCGCAGGCGGUUUCUUAAGUCUGAUGUGAAAGCCCCCGGCUCAACCGGGGAGGGUCAUUGGAAACUGGGAAACUUGAGUGCAGAAGAGGAGAGUGGAAUUCCACGUGUAGCGGUGAAAUGCGUAGAGAUGUGGAGGAACACCAGUGGCGAAGGCGACUCUCUGGUCUGUAACUGACGCUGAGGAGCGAAAGUGUGGGGAGCAAACAGGAUUAGAUACCCCUGUAGUCCCUGUCUCUUAUAA
Molecule: ribosomal RNA, 301 nt
Filed under: uncultured bacterium
Lineage: Bacteria
Description: partial 16S ribosomal RNA
Rfam family: Bacterial small subunit ribosomal RNA
Source: RNAcentral